Triticum aestivum (bread wheat) is the source of this 2388-nucleotide long non-coding RNA. RefSeq lists it as uncharacterized. NCBI's taxonomy places the organism in Eukaryota, Viridiplantae, Streptophyta, Magnoliopsida, Poales, Poaceae. The transcript has 6 exons. The record is from RefSeq and is a predicted model, not a curated record.
CUUCUUCUAAGCCUCGUCAGGGCACUCAUCCCCUUCCAGUUCGUGGCUGUGCGGAGCGGCGUCUCGCCAUGGAUGGCCUCCGGGCCUCGAGUUCUUCUUUGAGGAAGCAGAGUCAGGAUUGGUUCCUAAGGCUGAUGCGGGUGAUAUUUUGGGUGGCGGAAUCGAUGUUGUGGAGUCUGUGGUUGCUUCCAUUCAUGAAGGGCGCGGGCGCUCCUCUUAUGUGAUUUCUUCUGAGCCGAUGGACGGCGGCAGCGGUAAAUAGCAGUUCGGGGUGGUGGACGCGAAUCUCGGCUCAUACAUAAACGGUGGGAGUGAAAUCAUUGGUGACUCAAACGAUAUGGCGGCUCAAAAAACGUCCACUGCAUCUAUGGAAGAGGAGGGAGAUGCAGAAGGGGUCGUCGUGAACAAAUCAAAGGCCUCCUGUUGGACUCGACGUGUUAGAAUUGGCAACGCGCCAGAAGAGAGGGAUGCCAACCCAAGCAGAGUCUCUACCCUCGAGGCUUCAAUAAGAGCUUAUGCAGACAACAAGGUUGGCACUGUUGUUAACCCGGCGCUUGGAACUAGCUUUGACACAGUUGAAGAAGCAUAUGUGCUUUACAACCUAUACUCCUGGGAGACAGGGUUUGGCGUUAGGUAUGCCAAAAGCAGGCUGAACGUCCAUUGGAAAAAAUGCAUGCAGGAGUUUGUAUGCGUGUGUGCGGGCAAGCCAUUGCAAUCGAACAGCCGCUCAACGAGGUGUGGAUGCCCCGCUUUGAUGUGGGUGCUUAGAUCGGAUGAUAAAGGGUGGUACAUAUGUGAACACAAAGCAGAGCACAACCAUGCAGUCUCAGUUAACUACAUGGAGAAGCUCCACUAGAAAUCUCACCGGCACAUAGAUCGAUACACCAAAGACUUGGUGGAAUAGCUAAGAGAAAACAAUAUAAGCCUGAGCAAGGUUUACAGUGUGGUUGGCAGUUUUUUUGGAUCUGUGAAGGAGGUGCCAUCCACAAAGAGAUCUCUCAAAACUAUUUGUUGGAAACUUAAUAGAGAGCGCAGUUUGAAAAUAAUGCUACAAAAACAAUAGAGGUGUUCAACGCAAUGCGGGCUGAAGAUCCUGAGUUCAAAUACAGUGUACAGGUUGAUGGUGAUGGUCGAGUCAAGACUUUGAUGUGGACAACAGGGAGAAGCAUUGAGAAGUUUAAGUGUUUUGGCGAUGUUAUGACGUUUGAUACGACAUACAAAACUAAUCUAUACGACAUGCCAUUUGGCCUCUUCGUUGGUGUCAAUAAUCACUUUCAAAGCAUUAAUUUUGGAGGGGUGCUGAUGAGCGAUGAGAAAAUUGAAACUUUUAAGUGGAUAUUCAUAGAGUUCUUUCACAUGAUAGGAGCGCCACAACCACACACAAUCCUCACAGACCAAGCUCGUGCAAUGGAGGUUGCCAUAGAAGAUGUCAUACCACAUACAACACAUUGGUGGAGUGAAAGUGCAAACCAUUUGCUGAAAGGAUAUGUGCCACCAGGAUCCCCGAUGCACCUUUUCGUCAGGCAACAUGAGAAGAUGUAAUUUGACAGAGAUUCAGAGGAGAGUAAUCAAGAGAAGAGAACCAAACUGGGAUAGCGAGGCAUGUAAAGAAGGAUUCAAGGGACAAAUGGUGUAAAAAUGAAUUCCGCGUCCAGGUCAACGAGCGUGCUGACGAAUUCAAAUGUGAAUAUGGAAUGUUUGAACAUUUUGGCAUGGUGUGCAGCCAUGCACUGAAGGUAAUGAUACAGCUUGGUCUGCAGGAGGUUCCAGCCGGGCACAUAGUGAAGCGUUGGACAAGGGAUGCAAGGGAUAUACUCCCUCCAGAGUUUUUGGGUUACCAAAAGGACUAGGGUCCUCUCAAGUACUCUUCGCGGCGACAUAAUAAUCUGCAUCUGUUGUGCCUUGAAAUUGUUAGACUCGGUGACAGCAAUGUGGAUGCAUAUACUCUUGCGAUGGAGCAACUAAGAAAUGUGAAAACAUUGCUGGAGCCGGUGGCUGCUAUAUGUGAUGGCAUGGGGUUAUCAGAUAGAGAGCUGGCAGGUGAUUCUGCAGGUUCAGCUACAGCACACAAGCAGCAUUUUGGCCCAACAAAUCAGGUGCAAAGUGCCUCACAAUGUUCAUAUAGCUUUGCAGCGCCAUCAAGGAAGAGACCAGCUGGGUGCCCCACGACAAGCCACGACAAAGCACCAUACGAACAGCCAGCUAAGAGAAAUAGGUUCUGUUCAAUCUGUCGGGGCCAAGGGCACAAGAGCACAACAUGUCCGCAACGCGGUGAUCUUCCAAAGGCUCCAAGGGAGUCACCUCGUUGCUCCAGGUGCAGCCUGACAGGCCACAGAAGGAACACCUGCACCAACACGCCCAAGGCAGACUUCUAUGGUUGAUUUUAUC